ACAGAUGUGAGCCACCACACCCGGCCUACUCUGUUAAUUUAAACAACUAUUAAAUGAGACAAUACACUGCAAAGCACUUAGAAAAGUGCCUGACACAGGAAUAAGUUUUCUUUUUUCUUUUUUUAUUUUAUUUAUUUUUUUAUUAUACUUUAAGUUUUCAAUAAAUGCGAAUGUUUGUUAUUACAUAAAUUUAAAAAAAAAAAAUAGCCACCUGGCUCCAUUCUUGGCCACAAACUCUGAAGAGGUGGAGUUAAAGUGUGUGAGGUAUGUCGGAUAACCUCCCAUGCAAGUCACUACCACAGCUGACAUCCCGGAGCCAGAGAACUUGAUGAAUGUCUUCAAUGGUCACAGCUGAAAAGGGAACUAACUCCAGGUCCCCAGGCUGACUUGCCCUCCGAGCCUGGAGGGCAAACUCUGCUAAUUAACUCUCUUUGCUUGGGUUCGCCUCUGUCAUCUUCACCCCUGUGCCAACAGGCUAUCUCCACAGAUAGCCUGCUCUCGUGUGCCCUCUACUGGAGGGCUGUGGUUCCAGAGUUGCUCCAGCCUCGGACUCGGCUCCCCGCAGACGGAAUGUCCUCCUCCAGGGAGAGGCUCGAGUCAAGUGCUAAUGUGUUGUCAACCUCUGACUCCAGAGAAGCGGAUUAUAUGAUUUAAUGAUAGUUCCGCAUCAGAAAAGAUUUUGAAACGUGUAGCUCAAAACAGUAAAAUUUCACAGUGAUUAUCUGAAACUGAAGUAGUCCAAACCGCUGACGGUGUAACCUGAGCAACUUGUUUUAACUCCUCUGAGGCUGUUUCCUCAUCUGUACGGUGGGAAUAGCAGUACUUACCUAACCAGGCUGAGGAUUAAAUGAAUUAGUAUCUGUAAAGUGCUUAGAAUGGUACAUAGCACAGAGCAGUGUUCUUAAAUAUUUCUUGAAAAAAUUAAUAAAGGAGAAGCCUACCUUAAACCUUCAGAGAAAAUCUGAAGUCGAAAUUUUUAAAAGCUAAAUUUUAGAAUCAAUUGCAUUUUAAAGUCAUCAUGAAACAUGAGGUUGCUGCUACACAGUCACUUGUGCUGGAUUAUAUAACAGGUGAAAACUUAUUCUCUUGGGAAUUUCCAGAACUCUGUGGCACAGCCAAAAUACACCGACCUUGAAUACAUUGUUCUGGAACAAAGUGGAUGUACUGAACACUGAAUUGAUGUUACUACUUCGUACCAAGCACACAGCACUGAAUGCUCUCACGCUCAAUUAUCUGACAGUGAUGCUAGUAAGAAUAAAACAUAAUUUUUAAUCUUAUUUAAAAUGUAUUAUGCACUCCCAGAGUACUUACAAGAAACUACUCUUCUGCUUUUCAUGGAUAUCUAUUCAUAAGAAGAAAGACAGCUGGUUUUGGGGCUGGUGGUGGGUUUUUCCAUUGUUUUCAAAAGACAGAGAGCUAUGCAUAUGCUGACUUCCAAAGAGGCUAUCAUCAGUCACCGGAAAUCCACAGAAAAGGUCACUGCCAGAGAUCUGCCAUGUGUGAUCCACCCACUCUCACUUCAAGGCCACUAGCACCACUACCAGGCUGACACAAGGCCCCUGGGAAGGUGGCCCAGUGCAGGACAGACACAAAAGGGACCACAGUCAAGGAGCAGCCUUACUUUCUCACCUCACCCAAGAUAGAGAGCUAUGGGCCAAGGGAGGGGAAAUCAGGAUAUGGCCACCCAGGCCAGGGCUGCCCCCACUCCUCAACCCUGCUCCCCUGGAGAAAGACCGUACUCUUAUCAAGGGCCCUGUGGGUGACAAAGAGCUAGAGAGCCACUGUGACCACUGGGUUUCUGCACCAUUUGGCUAAUGAAAACCAUGACCCUCUCUGGGUCUCAGUCUUCUCAUCUGUGAAGUGGAAGGAUAGGCAAAAUGACAUGAAUAACAGAAUGAGUGACUAUAACCCAAGCCCACAGCUUAGUGUCAAGGAUUGUGAGAACGAAGCAAAAGGCAUCAAGCACUCUGAAUUGUUCAAAUAAUGAAGAUGAUGCCCACAAAGACAGAUAGAACAUGCCUCAAAGCUUCUCAGUUUUCCUACGACUAAGAUAACCAGUCACCAUGUGGCAUGACUCCGAGGACCACGUACAGGCUUUGCAUCUUCUGUGAAGGCUUCAGUUGCCCUUGGGGAUACAUCGCCGUUCUGUCCACCAACACUCUCUCAUGUUCUCAGGACAUAAUUACCUAUUUCUGUUCUAUCCUCACCCCCUAAAAGAUUAGUCUAGAACCUGUUCUUAUUAAGCUCUGCAUUGUCAUUGCUGAACACUCUGUCAUGCAGUAGGUGCUCAAUAAAUAUCUAACCCCCGUACACACAUCAAAAACAAAAGAGCAUCUAUGGGUCUUUAUACUGUAAGGUUUUACUUUCUUCUCCCCUACUUCCCUACUAUUGGUCCCUCCAUCUAGACCUUACGAUCUGCAGUGGUCUACAUUUGGGACCCUUACAGUAAACGUGUGCCACUUCUCUGAAAAGUCAUGCAGCUGCUCCCAGCUCCGUCUCUGCAUGACCAGGCAAGUGAGUGCAGACCUCAUCUUACAUCUGUGUGGUUCUCUUUUCUGCAGGCUGAAAUGCUGCUCUCCCCAUCAACUGUGAGGAUGCACUUGCUGCCCUCUUGCCCACCAAGGUAUGGGGCCUGGAGAGCUACGUUUGUGUCUGCUCUGACUUUGGACAGCCCCCACAGGGGUCAUUCCCCGGCAGCUCAUUCCAUCACUGAGAUGUGCUGAGAUCCCAGAGCCGCCUGCACCCUUGAGGUUCCUCUUCGGUCAUCAUUCCUUGCUUGGACUUCUUUAGACGUCUAGAGACUUCCGAGGUCGGUGAGCAGACUGUGUCCUUAACCAGCAUUUUGUUUCUCAGGGCCUCCCCGGGCCCCUCACCACCUCCCUCUCAGACUCCCAAACCCUGGAACUGAAUUCAAGGCAACCUUCUUCCCUCUUUGAAAGGUUUAACAAACAGCGUCUCAACUUUAACCUUGGCAAGUACAUUAACCAAGUUCCAGGUCACAUGAAUUAACGGAUGGCCCACUUAAAACAAACCACACUGAGUAGCUACGAGGAAUGUCUCCACUGCGGCAAGUGCAAAAUCCAAGUGAAGGCCCUGAUCAGCAAAUUGAGCGUGCUUCAGGACACCCGCCCCUCCUGCCUGGCCCCCUGCCGCUGCAGCAACACAUGUGAACUGACACGGUAUCUGAGCACACCCCGGGAAACAGACCGCAGCCCUCCCUGGCGCCCAGUGAUUACAGGCCAAGGCUGAAAGCAGCAACAAGAACCAAGAAACAAAGCCUUCUGUGAAACCAGAAACCACACAAGGUCACAAAAACAGCAAGAACUUGUAAAUCCUGAAAACCCUUCAGUGAGGAAUUUUCCUAAGCACCUGUGUCCAGCUCUGAAACAACAGUGGCUUGACACAUACCUGAGACGAUGAGAGCACAAAUCCAGCCGCCCCUCCGGAAAGACCAUUCAAGGUCACGGGCGUUUUAAGAUGUGGUUCUCUUUUGGGCUUAUCUGUGGAAAAACAUCCAAGGCACAGACCAAACAGCUGCUUUGAAAACACACUCAAGACAGACCACAUCCUUGCACACCGCUGUGGCCUCAGGACUCUGGGACUAAGGCAGGUUAUUAUUAACCUCCAAGUCAGACAACCUCCAGUGGAGCCAGGACUCAAACCUGGGACUGCCCAGCUGGAGAAGGAGUCUGGUUCCAGGUUCCUGAGCUACGUAACUAGCUGGCUUCCCCCCGGAUCACAAGAUGUCGUCAGACACCUACUGGAGCUAUGUGGAUCCUUAUUCACACUCAGAGAGAGCACUGCUUCCCAGAGCCACCAAACCACAGUUCUGAGCAGCGUUCUAAGGGACCAACCUGAACUGUGGCCAGGAAAUGCCUCCCUGCUGAUUACAGUGUGGGGAAAAUGGCAGCCACUCUGAGCCUCGAGGUUUACACAGCCCCCAACACUCUCUGGAUGGGACUGUACAUGCAGCACGGGGGUCAUCUGAGCCACCAGCUACUCAUCUUGUAUAGAAACAAAACAAAAAAGAACUGAGUACAGUAACCAAGGAAGAAAAUCAUAAAAGUUCACACGCUGGAAACAACUUUCUAAUUCUCUUAUCUAUACUUGGCCACAGAUGAGCUAAGAAUCAUCACCAGUAGUUAACUCAAGAGAGGCAUGCAAAUAUGUGGUAAGAUGCUAUAAUUUUGAGGUUAGAAAAUAAAUCCAUGUAUUUAUAACUUAAAUAGUGAUUUGAAUCAAGGAGUAUUAAUGGCUGUACCCUUAGAAAAAGAAUGAUUCUAACCACUUACCCUUCAGCACCCAACCCCUAUCAAAAGCAAACAUAUUCUGUGAUAACAAACAUCGUAAUAUCAUCUUUAUUUGUCUGCCCUGGAAAAAACACCAAAUCAUGACUGGUGUUCCUGUUAUUGAUUCCUCCCCAACAAGGAAAAAAAAAAAGUGACCUUUUGGCUGGGCACAGUGGCUAGUGCCUAUAAUCUCACCUCUUCAAAAGUAAAAAAAAGUUAAAAAAAAAAAUUAGCUGGGCGUGGUGGUGUACAUAUACAGUUCUA
Molecule: long non-coding RNA, 4553 nt
Filed under: Homo sapiens (human)
Lineage: Eukaryota; Metazoa; Chordata; Mammalia; Primates; Hominidae
Description: HSALNT0383720
Source: RNAcentral